Molecule: long non-coding RNA, 2313 nt
Organism: Ictalurus punctatus (channel catfish)
Lineage: Eukaryota; Metazoa; Chordata; Actinopteri; Siluriformes; Ictaluridae
Exons: 2
Source: RefSeq, a predicted model, not a curated record
UUAAGAACAAGGAAAUCUAAGGGUUAGACACUUGAACCUUUAAUAAAAAUAUCUUGCCAUUCCACUGUGUUAAAUGAUUGUGUCUUGCCUUAUCUCUCUUGCUAUAUCAAUCAUGGGAUAACUUUCUUGAGGCAAACAAGCUCCUGUAGAAACUCAGGACAAACUAAAGGUUGGUCGCGCUGGUAAAUUACAAGGAAAUCUAAAGAAAAAUAAAUUUGAACUUGGUACAAAAUUCAUGCCAUCCUCUUACCUCUUCUGGUAUCUCCAUUAAGUUCAGCACUCUACCUCAGUGGUAAACACUACAGCAAAGCUAAAGGUUAGUUUCGCUGUUCAAGAACAAGUAAAUCUAAAGGCUAGUCGCUUGAACCUUUAAUAAAAAUGUCAUGUUGUUCCACCCGGCUCAAGAGUUUUGUUUUGUCUUACCCUUCUUGCUCCUUCAAUCACAGUAUCCCUGCCUUGAGACACAGAAGCUCCUGUACAAGUUCAGGUCUGUACUUCGUUUGUAAACUCUAAGGCAAAACCAGCUGAAAAACUAAAUGUUAGUCACUCUGGUAAAUUACAAAGAAAUCGAAAGGCGACGAACUUGAACUUUGUACAAAAGUCAUGCCACUCCACUGUGCUAAAAACCUGUGUCUUUUCUUACCUCUUCUGCUCUCUCCAUUAUGGGGAACCUGACUGGAGGUAAACACGCUCCUGUACAAGUUCAGGACUCGGUGAUGAAGACUACAGCAAAAAUAAAGAAGCUCCUGUACAAGUUCAGGACAAGACCAUUUCUGUAAACACUAGGGCAAAACUAAAGGUUAGUCACUUUGGUAAAUUAGAAGAAAAAUCUAAAGGCAAUGCACUACAACUGUAUGUUAUUCUGCUCCAAUAUAUUAAAAACUUGUGUCUUUUUAUUCCUCCCUUGCCACCUCAAUCAUGGUGUACCUGUCGAGGGAAAUAAGCUCCUAUACAAGUUCAGGUGACCAGUCAGGACUUGACCUCUGAGGUAAACACUAUAGUGAAAGCAGUGAAAAAACUAAAGUCUAGACACAAUGACAAACUUAUUGUCCAAAUCUAAAAUCUAGGAACCUGAACUUUUAGAACAGUCUUGGUGCUCUACUAUGACUCACACUUAUUUGUCUUUUUUCUUUUUUUCUUUUUACCUCUUCUGCUCUCUCCAUUAUGGGGAACCUGACUGGAGGUAAACACGCUCCUGUAGAAGUUCAGGACUCGGUGAUGAAGACUACACCAAAAAUAAAAGUUAGUCAUUCUGUUAAUGUAAAUCCAAAGGAUAGUCAUUUAAACUUUUUUUUUUUUUAUGUAAUGUUGUUCCCCUACGCUAAACAGUUUGUUCUUGUUCUCCCUCUUGCUACCUUAAUCAUGGUGAACAUGACUUGAGACACAGACGCUCCUGUAGAAGUUCAGGUCUCUACCUCGGUGGUAAAGACUACCGCAAAACCAGCAGCACAACUAAAGUUUAGUCUCGCUGUUCAAGAACAAGGAAAUCUAAAGGCUAGUCACCUGAACCUUUAAUAAAAAUGUCAUGUCUUGUCUUACCUCUCUUGCUACCUCAAUCACGGUGUCCCUGUCUUGAGGCACAGAAGCUCCUGUACAAGUUCAGGUCUCUAGGUUGGUGGUAACCACUACAACAAAACUAAAUGUUAGUCGCUCUGGUAAAAUUACAAAGAAAUUGAAAGGCAAUGAACUUGAACUUUGUACAAAAGUCAUGCCACUCCACUGUGCUAAAAACCUGUGUCUUUUCUGCUCUCUCCAUUAUGGGGAACCUGACUGGAGGUAAACACGCUCCUGUACAAGUUCAGGACUCUGUGAUGUAGACUACGGCAAAAAUAAAGGUUAGUCUUGCUGUUCAAGGAACUCUAAAGGAUAGUCAGUUGAACCUUUAAUAAAAUCGCCAUGUUGUUCCACUCGGCUAAACGGUUUUGUCUUUUCUUAUUUCUCUUGCUACCUUAAUCACAGUGUCCCUGUCUUGAGGUAAACACACUCCUGUACAAGUUCAGGACUAGACCUUUUCUCUAAACACUAGGGCAAAACUAAGGGUAGUCACUUUGGUAAAUUGAAAGAAAAAUCUAAAGGCAAUGCACUUGAAUUUUUCAUGCCACUCCACUAUGCUAAAAACUUUUCUUAUCUCUUUUGCUAUCUCCAUUAUGGGGAACCUGACUGGAGGAACAGAAGCUCCUGUACAAGUUCAGAACUUGGUGAUGAAGACUACGGCAAAACCACCGGCAAAAAUGAAGAUUAGUCACUCUGUUCAAGGAAAUGUAAAGGAUAGUCACUUGAACCUUUAAUAAAAGUGUCAUGUUGUUCCACUCG